AAGGACUGGUGCCAGUGGACGGUGGUCCCCAACACGACUCUUGCCUGGCUAAGGAACUCGAGCCUCCACCUGGCCUCUCCUUCCGUCGGGCCCUCACGGGAUCACAGCACCAACAGCCGGGAAGGCAUCUUCGUGUACGUCGAGACCCAGAAGCUGGACCUGCACGAGGGAAGAGCCUGGCUGAGCAGCCCAGCGUUGGCCCCGGACCCCAACCAUUCCUGCUAUCUGGUUCUCUACCUCUACCUGCAUGGCUCCGAC
Molecule: long non-coding RNA, 258 nt
Filed under: Notechis scutatus (mainland tiger snake)
Lineage: Eukaryota; Metazoa; Chordata; Lepidosauria; Squamata; Elapidae
Description: lncRNA (ENSNSUG00000003143.1)
Source: RNAcentral